This 238-nucleotide ribosomal RNA is filed under the name uncultured Flavobacteriaceae bacterium. RNAcentral's name for it is "partial 16S ribosomal RNA". It matches the Rfam family "Bacterial small subunit ribosomal RNA", at positions 1 to 246 of the family's 1533-position model. Lineage: Bacteria; Pseudomonadati; Bacteroidota; Flavobacteriia; Flavobacteriales; Flavobacteriaceae. The record is from RNAcentral.
CUCGGAGUUUGAUCCUGGCUCAGGAUGAACGCUAGCGGCAGGCUUAACACAUGCAAGUCGAGGGGUAUAGUUCUUCGGAACUAGAGACCGGCGCACGGGUGCGUAACGCGUAUGCAAUCUACCUUUUACAGAGGGAUAGCCCAGAGAAAUUUGGAUUAAUGCCCCAUAGUAUAUAUCAUUCGCAUGUUUGAUAUAUUAAAGUUCCAACGGUAAAAGAUGAGCAUGCGUCCCAUUAGUU